GUGCCAGCCGCCGCGGUAAUACCGGCAGCCCAAGUGAUGGCCGAUCUUAUUGGGCCUAAAGCAUCCGUAGCUGGCCGCGCAAGUCCAUCGGAAAAUCCACCCGCCCGACGGGUGGGCGUCCGGUGGAAACUGGCCGGCUUGGAACCGGAAGGCUCAGAGAGUACGUCCGGGGUAGGAGUGAAAUCCCGUAAUCCCGGACGGACUACCGAUGGCGAAAGCACUCUGAGAAGACGGCUUCGACAGUGAGGGACGAAAGCUCGGGUCUCAAACCGGAUUAGAAACCCCAGUAGUCC
This 293-nucleotide ribosomal RNA is filed under the name uncultured bacterium. RNAcentral's name for it is "partial 16S ribosomal RNA". It matches the Rfam family "Archaeal small subunit ribosomal RNA", at positions 455 to 747 of the family's 1478-position model. The record is from RNAcentral.